Pteropus alecto (black flying fox) is the source of this 73-nucleotide non-coding RNA. The record is from Rfam. NCBI's taxonomy places the organism in Eukaryota, Metazoa, Chordata, Mammalia, Chiroptera, Pteropodidae.
GGCUCCGUAGCGGAGCGGUGAGCACGUCCGCUUUCCACGCAGAAGGUCCUGGGUUCGCGCCCCAGUGGAGCCA